CGGGCUAUAGCGCAGUUUGGUAGCGCGCCUGCUUUGGGAGCAGGAUGUUACCAAAGCAUUGCUGCUGUGACCUCCGCUGAGCACUA
RNAcentral lists this transfer RNA (86 nucleotides) under Bifidobacterium sp. UTCIF-24. RNAcentral's name for it is "tRNA-Pro". Lineage: Bacteria; Bacillati; Actinomycetota; Actinomycetes; Bifidobacteriales; Bifidobacteriaceae. The record is from RNAcentral. RNAcentral also lists the same sequence under 1 other name.